UUUAAUGGUGCAAUCACCCUGCAGCCCAAGACUGGUUACUCACUGAAGCUAAGCAGGGCUGAGCCUGGUCAGUACCUGGAUGGGAGACCACAUGGGAAAACUAGGUUGCUGUUGGAA
Molecule: ribosomal RNA, 117 nt
Filed under: Danio rerio (zebrafish)
Lineage: Eukaryota; Metazoa; Chordata; Actinopteri; Cypriniformes; Danionidae
Source: RNAcentral